RNAcentral lists this long non-coding RNA (345 nucleotides) under Anas zonorhyncha (Eastern spot-billed duck). Its description in RNAcentral is "lncRNA (ENSAZOG00000006971.1)". Lineage: Eukaryota; Metazoa; Chordata; Aves; Anseriformes; Anatidae. The record is from RNAcentral.
CACCCUCAAACACCAUCUGAUCUAACCUCGCAGGAAAAUCCCCUUGCUGGGCAGGGAAACCCUCUGCGGAAGUGGAAACGGAGCAUUUGCGCUUGGAAAAUCACAAAGGAGCGAGGGAAGCUUGCACCGGCAAGACAUUUCCCAGAAGUGUGCUGCCGGCAGUGUUCUUUGCCCUGCGCAGCCUGACGAGCGUUCGGGUUGAUCCCGGCAUCUCCAGGAACGGCAGCGGGGCCAGGCUGGGGAUGCAGGAUCCGGCCCUGAGCCCCUGUGCGCACGUCGUGGCAGCAAGUCCUCGGUAACAAAGCCGCCGCACGGAAUAAAGGAACGAGGAUUCAGCUUUAAUUA